GGAACUCAAAGAGUUGACCUCUAGUACAUAGACAGGGCAACAAGUAGAGGGAGGGAUGGGGUUACUAACCCACAGUCAAAAUUUCAGACCCAGCAUUGUUUCUGUCUAAAAGAACUGCAAGGACAAAAAUGGAGAAGAGACUGAAGGAAAGGCAGUCCAGUGACUGGGCUAACUUGGGAUCCAUCUCUAGGGAGGUUACCAAGGCCUGACUGUAUUUCUGAUGCUAUGAUGUGCUUACAGAGAGGAGCCUAGCAUGGCUGUCCUCUGAGAGGCACUACCAGCAGCUGACUGAGACAGAUGCGGAUAUGUACACUCAACCAUUGGACUGAGGACCAAAUUGGGGACCCCUAUAGAGGAAUGAGGGGAAGGAUUGAAGAAGCUGAAGGGGAGGGUAAUUCCAUAGGAAGACCAGCAGUUUCAACUAACUCAGACUCCUGGGAGCUCCUAGAGAAUGGAGCCACCAACCAGGUAGCACAGACUGGCUGAUCUGAGACACUGGCACAUAUAUAGCAGAAGAUUGCCUGGUCUGGCCUCAGUGGGAGAAGAUGUGCCUUAUCCUUUUUUUUUUUAUAGAUGAAUUUUUUACUAUGCUUUGCUCCAUGCACUUUUUAAAGUCAUAGAUACUGAGAUCAUUCUUAGCUUUUGU
This 646-nucleotide long non-coding RNA is filed under the name Rattus norvegicus (Norway rat). RNAcentral's name for it is "long non-coding RNA NONRATT025058". Lineage: Eukaryota; Metazoa; Chordata; Mammalia; Rodentia; Muridae. The record is from RNAcentral.